CAAGGUGAAACCUAAUUGGCCUGGAGAAGAGCUUGCGUCUGAUUAGCUAGUUGGUGGGGUAAGAGCCUACCAAGGCGACGAUCAGUAGCUGGUCUGAGAGGAUGAGCAGCCACGCUGGGACUGAGACACGGCCCAGACUCCUACGGGAGGCAGCAGUGGGGAAUUUUCCGCAAUGGGCGAAAGCCUGACGGAGCAACGCCGCGUGAGGGAGAAAGGUCUUUGGAUUGUAAACCUCUUUUCUCAAGGAAGAAGUUCUGACGGUACUUGAGGAAUCAGCCUCGGCUAACUCCGUGCCAGCAGCCGCGGUAAUACGGGGGAGGCAAGCGUUAUCCGGAAUUAUUGGGCGUAAAGCGUCCGCAGGUGGUCAGCCGAGUCUGCU
This 379-nucleotide ribosomal RNA is filed under the name uncultured Microcystis sp. Its description in RNAcentral is "bacterial SSU rRNA". It matches the Rfam family "Bacterial small subunit ribosomal RNA", at positions 196 to 593 of the family's 1533-position model. Lineage: Bacteria; Bacillati; Cyanobacteriota; Cyanophyceae; Chroococcales; Microcystaceae. The record is from RNAcentral.